CCGAAUAUAGCUCAGCGGUAGAGCGGGAGACUGUAGUUUCAAGUUAUCUCUAGGUCCCUGGUUCAAAUCCGGGUGUUCGGA
Molecule: transfer RNA, 81 nt
Filed under: Smittium mucronatum
Lineage: Eukaryota; Fungi; Kickxellomycota; Harpellomycetes; Harpellales; Legeriomycetaceae
Rfam family: tRNA
About the family: Transfer RNA (tRNA) molecules are approximately 80 nucleotides in length. Their secondary structure includes four short double-helical elements and three loops (D, anti-codon, and T loops). Further hydrogen bonds mediate the characteristic L-shaped molecular structure. tRNAs have two regions of fundamental functional importance: the anti-codon, which is responsible for specific mRNA codon recognition, and the 3' end, to which the tRNAs corresponding amino acid is attached (by aminoacyl-tRNA synthetases). tRNAs cope with the degeneracy of the genetic code in two manners: having more than one tRNA (with a specific anti-codon) for a particular amino acid; and 'wobble' base-pairing, i.e. permitting non-standard base-pairing at the 3rd anti-codon position.
Source: Rfam by way of RNAcentral